RNAcentral lists this ribosomal RNA (328 nucleotides) under uncultured bacterium. RNAcentral describes it as "bacterial SSU rRNA". It matches the Rfam family "Bacterial small subunit ribosomal RNA", at positions 583 to 910 of the family's 1533-position model. The record is from RNAcentral.
UUAAGUCAGAUGUGAAAGCCCCGGGCUUAACCUGGGAACUGCAUUUGAAACUGGUCAACUAGAGUAUGGUAGAGGAAAGUGGAAUUUCUGGUGUAGCGGUGAAAUGCGUAGAUAUCAGAAGGAACAUCAAUGGCGAAGGCAGCUUUCUGGACCAAUACUGACGCUGAGGUACGAAAGCGUGGGUAGCAAACAGGAUUAGAUACCCUGGUAGUCCACGCCGUAAACGAUGAUAACUAGCCGUUGGGGGGAUUUACCCCUUAGUGGCGAAGCUAACGCGUUAAGUUAUCCGCCUGGGGAGUACGGCCGCAAGGCUAAAACUCAAAUGAAU